Molecule: ribosomal RNA, 366 nt
Filed under: uncultured bacterium
Lineage: Bacteria
Description: bacterial SSU rRNA
Rfam family: Bacterial small subunit ribosomal RNA
Source: RNAcentral
AUUGAACGCUGGCGGCAUGCUUUACACAUGCAAGUCGAACGGGGUGGUGGGGCAACCCGCCAUUCAGUGGCGAACGGGUGAGUAAUGCAUCGGAACGUGUCCCGUAGUGGGGGAUAACCCGGCGAAAGCCGGACUAAUACCGCAUAUGCUCUACGGAGGAAAGCGGGGGACCUGGAAAGGCCUCGCGCUAUGGGAGCGGCCGAUGUCCGAUUAGCUUGUUGGUGGGGUAAUGGCCUACCAAGGCGACGAUCGGUAGCUGGUCUGAGAGGAUGAUCAGCCACACUGGGACUGAGACACGGCCCAGACUCCUACGGGAGGCAGCAGUAGGGAAUAUUGGUCAAUGGAUGGAAGUCUGAACCAGCCAUG